Molecule: long non-coding RNA, 303 nt
Filed under: Elaeis guineensis (African oil palm)
Lineage: Eukaryota; Viridiplantae; Streptophyta; Magnoliopsida; Arecales; Arecaceae
Description: long non-coding RNA (EGUI_LNC062848)
Source: RNAcentral
GCUGGAGAGAUUGGAGGAAAUUUUGGAACCGCUGCUUUAGUCCUGUGAGACAAGAAUUGGGCACAAUCAUAUCUGCCAAAAGACAUAUCUAGAUGGAGCUAAGCACCGAUCUCAAAAGAUGGUCCUACCUAUCAUGGAAAGGGCAUUGGCCUGCCAUCUUUCAAGAUGAUCCUAAACUCACUGCACCAUGGGUCUACAGUUGGCCCUCCACUGUCACUGCCCGACGAUGGGAACACCUAGAUAAGUCAAGAUCCUAGAUUGCUCCUGGAUCUCCAAUCUCUUCCAAAUUGCCUACUUCACCUG